This 23-nucleotide non-coding RNA is filed under the name Arabidopsis thaliana (thale cress). Lineage: Eukaryota; Viridiplantae; Streptophyta; Magnoliopsida; Brassicales; Brassicaceae. The record is from RNAcentral.
GCAUCCAUUAUGUGCUUCUGAAC